Molecule: long non-coding RNA, 210 nt
Filed under: Mytilus galloprovincialis (Mediterranean mussel)
Lineage: Eukaryota; Metazoa; Mollusca; Bivalvia; Mytilida; Mytilidae
Source: RNAcentral
AAAAAUACGACCUAUUUACAAUAUAUCAAAUUAUGUACAUUGAGCAACAAUGGAAUAAUUUUCUUCAUCACAAUGAAUUAGUGAAACGAAAAGUUUUAUAUACAAAUAACAAUAUUAAAAUUUGAAAACGUCUACUUAACAACAAAGAAAAGCUUCAUUAGUCUCUAGAAAUAAUACACUUUAAAAUGAUCAUAUGUCAUACAAUGAAAA